UACGGAAGGCAGCAGUGGGGAAUAUUGCACAAUGGGCGAAAGCCUGAUGCAGCUAUGCCGCGUGUAUGAAGAAGGCCUUAGGGUUGUAAAGUACUUUCAUCGGGGAGGAAAAAACAAAACUAAUAAUUUUAUUUCUUGACGUUACCCGAAAAAGAAGCACCGGCUAACUCCGUGCCAGCAGCCGCGGUAAUACGGAGGGUGCUAGCGUUAAUCAGAAUUACUGGGCGUAAAGAGCACGUAGGUGGUUUUUUAAGUCAGAUGUGAAAUCCCUGGGCUUAACCUAGGAACUGCAUUUUGAAACUGAAAUACUAGAGUAUCGUAGAGGGAGGUAGAAUUCUAGGUGUAGCGGUGAAAUGCGUAGAUAUCUGGAGGAAUACCUGUGGCGAAAGCGGCCUCCUAAACGAAUACUGACACUGAGGUGCGAAAGCGUGGGGAGCAAACAGGGAUUUAGGAUACC
This 457-nucleotide ribosomal RNA is filed under the name uncultured bacterium. Its description in RNAcentral is "bacterial SSU rRNA". It matches the Rfam family "Bacterial small subunit ribosomal RNA", at positions 340 to 786 of the family's 1533-position model. The record is from RNAcentral.